UUUUAAAAGCCUUCCAAGCAUCACGUUUUCUAAAACUAAUGCCAAUGCAGCCAAAGGCCCUGUAUUGGCCAACCAUCUUAAUGCUGAAGCAAAGCUGAAGGAAGUCACAGAAGAGGAUCCUGGCUUACAGGACGGGGCUGUUUGAGAGCUCAAAGGCAGGAUGAAGCUGAGGACAGCACGCUGUAAAUACUCUUCCUCACGUCCCAGCUGUGCAUUGCACGAGUGGAAAGGCGAGGGGCUGCUCACCAGAGGGCUUGCUUCCUUCAGAGCAAUGUUUGGUGAAGAGGAGGAGAGACAGCCAGCAAGACCUGCAUCCCCAUUGAGGCAAAGAGCGCUUAAAACACGCACAGCCCCAGGCAAUGCCCUGCAGGCAGCUCUG
This 379-nucleotide long non-coding RNA is filed under the name Gallus gallus (chicken). RNAcentral's name for it is "lncRNA (ENSGALG00010019802.1)". Lineage: Eukaryota; Metazoa; Chordata; Aves; Galliformes; Phasianidae. The record is from RNAcentral.